UGGCGAACGGGUGCGUAACACGUGGGGAAUCUGCCGAGAAGUGGGGGAUAGCUCGCCGAAAGGCGAAUUAAUACCGCAUGUGAUCAGGGAAGACAUCUUUCCGACAUCAAAGCCGGGGCAACCUGGCGCUUCUUGAUGACCCCGCGGCCUAUCAGCUAGUUGGUGAGGUAACGGCCCACCAAGGCGAUGACGGGUAGCUGGUCUGAGAGGACGACCAGUCACACUGGAACUGAGACACGGUCCAGACACCUACGGGUGGCAGCAGUCGAGAAUUUUUCUCAAUGGGGGGAACCCUGAAGGAGCGACGCCGCGUGGAGGAUGAAGGCUUUCGGGUUGUAAACUCCUGUCA
This 349-nucleotide ribosomal RNA is filed under the name uncultured Planctomycetota bacterium. RNAcentral describes it as "bacterial SSU rRNA". It matches the Rfam family "Bacterial small subunit ribosomal RNA", at positions 96 to 438 of the family's 1533-position model. The record is from RNAcentral. Lineage: Bacteria; Pseudomonadati; Planctomycetota.